UUCCUGGUGGUCUAGUGGUUAGAAUUUGGUGCUUUCACCACUGUGGUCCAGGUUCAAUCCCUGGUCUGUGAA
This 72-nucleotide transfer RNA is filed under the name Sus scrofa (pig). It matches the Rfam family "tRNA". From Rfam's summary of the family: Transfer RNA (tRNA) molecules are approximately 80 nucleotides in length. Their secondary structure includes four short double-helical elements and three loops (D, anti-codon, and T loops). The record is from Rfam by way of RNAcentral. Lineage: Eukaryota; Metazoa; Chordata; Mammalia; Artiodactyla; Suidae.